Molecule: ribosomal RNA, 566 nt
Filed under: uncultured fungus
Lineage: Eukaryota; Fungi
Description: eukaryotic LSU rRNA
Rfam family: 5.8S ribosomal RNA (bases 206-359)
Source: RNAcentral
CGUACAGGUCUCCGUAGGUGAACCUGCGGAGGGAUCAUUACACAAAUAUGAAGGCGGGCUGGAACCUCUCGGGGUUACAGCCUUGCUGAAUUAUUCACCCUUGUCUUUUGCGUACUUCUUGUUUCCUUGGUGGGUUCGCCCACCACUAGGACAAACAUAAACCUUUUGUAAUUGCAAUCAGCGUCAGUAACAAAUUAAUAAUUACAACUUUCAACAACGGAUCUCUUGGUUCGGGCAUCGAUGAAGAACGCAGCGAAAUGCGAUAAGUAGUGUGAAUUGCAGAAUUCAGUGAAUCAUCGAAUCUUUGAACGCACAUUGCGCCCUUUGGUAUUCCAAAGGGCAUGCCUGUUCGAGCGUCAUUUGUACCCUCAAGCUUUGCUUGGUGUUGGGCGUCUUGUCUCUAGCUUUGCUGGAGACUCGCCUUAAAGUAAUUGGCAGCCGGCCUACUGGUUUCGGAGCGCAGCACAAGUCGCACUCUCUAUCAGCAAAGGUCUAGCAUCCAUUAAGCCUUUUUUCAACUUUUGACCUCGGAUCAGGUAGGGAUACCCGCUGAACUUAAGCAUAUC